AUUAUGUCUUCCUUAAGCUUUAAGAAUCAAUAAAAACCUUUAGAAUAGCAUUUACUAAAAAGUGACAAAGAAUGCCAAACAUUUCUAGCUUCAAAGGAAGUGACUGGCUGGCCUCCAUAAUGGACAACCCACGAGGAUUUUAAAGAUUUAAAUUUGCGCCCUUGCUGAACAAUUAUACACCGUAAAAUCUAUACUACUGCACUCUCAGCUUAACUAUACCAUCUAGCCGGUCACUCCCUUGAGUUAGAUAAGCACAUGAAAUCAUAAUAACCGCAGUUUCAAAAUGUCUGGAGAAGAACAAAGGGUACCAAUGAGGAUUGGAGAUUUUUCUGUUCUAGAUUCAGAAUUCAACAGUAUUAAGGAUAGAUUUGACAACGAGAUGAAAAAAAUGGAAGACGAAAUGAACAGGAAAACACAAUUAUUACAAAAUAUGCUACAGUUGCCU
Molecule: long non-coding RNA, 445 nt
Organism: Eurytemora carolleeae
Lineage: Eukaryota; Metazoa; Arthropoda; Copepoda; Calanoida; Temoridae
Exons: 3
Source: RefSeq, a predicted model, not a curated record